UGUGUUCUUUUAGUUGUUAAACUCAAUAUUCCUAUUCUCUCCGCAGUAGGAGUUGUAGGAGAGAGCCCUGUAUGCGUUCUUGGAGCCAUACCAGGGGUAGGAAACGGGGAAUCGAGUCCCCCUUACAAUUCCCUCCUGCACCCCCUAUUGCGGGUAGUAUUUUUGGGAGUAUUUAGGCCAGUAAUCUGUGCUUUACCUGUAGUGUAAGAAGUGUUAGUGAAUUAAGAGGCUGUAUGUUUGUGUCUUUACGACGGAGAUGGUUCUCGUCGUGUAUAGGUUUUUCCCGGAAAUGUAACGUUCCCCCUCUCUGAGUCUCUUUCAUACAUCAUAUGUACCUGGUUUUUACAAUAAUUGUACAACCGCCCAAGGGUAAAGAUUUCGUGGAGAAUCCUCAGCCUUAUUCUGGUUACCAUAGUGAGAGGAGAAAACUAGAAAUCAGUCGUGUGUCCAUUCGCCCAUUUCCGUCAGUUUCGGGAAAAUCGUGCCUUCAAUGAGGAAUUAAUUAUAAACCGUGUCGUCAGGUAUGCGGCGCCUAUGUAUUGCCUUCUAAACUAAGUCACAGGAAUAAAUGUAAGCACUCCUAUAUAUAGGCCUUUAUUUCUUGUCACUCCCCGAUGUGAGAUUUGUCCGGCCGGCUGUGAGUUAAACUAACCAUUUACCGCCCCCGAGCCUGCCCCGCUUACCUCGCUACCCUGCCCAAGGAAUCAGAGUCUCGCUCUGGGUCAUUUUAAUCCCUCAUUAAAUCCUUAGUCCUUUAUAUACAUAUACUCUUAAGGUUCCCAGUGAGCUACCGGCGACAUAGUUCAUCGGUAGAUCUCUGGGCGGUGGCAGCAAAACUACCCCCAGGGUGAGUCCCCCUUGUUCUCCUCAGAUAUCCCUAGGUGAAUUCCUUUUUUUUUUUUUUACAACAUUUAGGUGUCCCGAAUUUCCGGGCACGACACCACCAGUAGACAAGAGAUAUAGAGGGAAGAGAGAGAAAAUAACAAGAGAACGGCGAGGGAAGUGGCUGGCAAGUCUGGCAAGAGCUGACUUAUCCGAGGCUGGAAAAAGGCAUCUCCUCGUGUGCAGUGAUCAUUUUUUGAGUGGACGGCCAGCAGUCCUUGAGGAUACUAGUAAUCCAGACUGGGCCCCAACACAGAACCUUGGUCAUCGUAAAGUGUCCCAGGAAUUGGUCGCCAUCAGUUGUGCUCGGCAUCAAAGGAUCCAGGAGAGAAAGUUGAAGAAGGAUAAGGAGAUGUUUAUGGCAGCGCAGACACUCAUGGACAUACAGGAAUACACUCAACCUUGCCAUGACGAAGUUCAUGUUGAACAACAGGAACAGUUGUCCCUACUAGCCAUCGGCCAGACAUUUCAGACAGAGAAGCAAACCAUUGUGUCUAGACCAGCUGCCUGCCAGACAGAAACAGUAACAGUUGCAACUGUCGGCUGCCAAAGAGACCUCACCCUAAUGGAGACGACCAUGUUUGAUCAGCAGGAUGAGGACUUGAACAAGUUACGAACAGAGGUGUAUGAACUCCGUUCUACAGUAGGUGACUACAAUAACCUCAACCUCAGUAAUGAUGAUGAAAAAGUCCUUUUUAUACAGGGCUGCCAAACUAUGCUGUACUGAUGUGCAUUUUUUAUUAUGUUUGCCUUAAUAUUACCCAUUCAAUUAAUUCAAAGCUAUCCCCGUUUCAAAAAUUUGUUAUGUUUCUGAUGCAUCUUCGUUUAAACACAUGCUUCCAGGAUUUGGCCUACAGAUUUAAUGUAUCUCUUUCAACUGUGUCAAGGAUAGUUUAUAAAUGGGUAGAUACAGCAGAUACAAAAUUAAGACAUUCCAUUGUAUGGCCUACUGGCACAAUAGGCUGGGAAGAAAAUAAAUAAAAAAUAGAAAAAUAAAAAUCAGUCGACACACACACACACACACACACACACACACACACACACAC
This is a long non-coding RNA of Eriocheir sinensis (Chinese mitten crab), 1928 nucleotides long. RefSeq lists it as uncharacterized. The record is from RefSeq and is a predicted model, not a curated record. The transcript has 3 exons. Lineage: Eukaryota; Metazoa; Arthropoda; Malacostraca; Decapoda; Varunidae.